Molecule: ribosomal RNA, 491 nt
Filed under: uncultured bacterium
Lineage: Bacteria
Description: partial 16S ribosomal RNA
Rfam family: Bacterial small subunit ribosomal RNA
Source: RNAcentral
AGUGAACGCUGGCGGUAGGCCUAACACAUGCAAGUCGAACGGCAGCACAGUAAGAGCUUGCUCUUACGGGUGGCGAGUGGCGGACGGGUGAGGAAUACAUCGGAAUCUACUUUUUCGUGGGGGAUAACGUAGGGAAACUUACGCUAAUACCGCAUACGACCUACGGGUGAAAGCAGGGGAUCUUCGGACCUUGCGCGAUUGAAUGAGCCGAUGUCGGAUAGGUAGUUGGCGGGGUAAAGGCCCACCAAGGCGACGAUCCGUAGCUGGUCUGAGGGGAUGAUCAGCCACACUGGAACUGAGACACGGUCCAGACUCCUACGGGAGGCAGCAGUGGGGAAUAUUGGACAAUGGGCGCAAGCCUGAUCCAGCCAUACCGCGUGGGUGAAGAAGGCCUUCGGGUUGUAAAGCCCUUUUGUUGGGAAAGAAAAGCAGCAGGUUAAUACCCCGCUGUUCUGACGGUACCCAAAGAAUAAGCACCGGCUAACUUCGUG